This 512-nucleotide long non-coding RNA is filed under the name Salmo salar (Atlantic salmon). Its description in RNAcentral is "lncRNA (ENSSSAG00000094673.1, ENSSSAG00020067379.1)". Lineage: Eukaryota; Metazoa; Chordata; Actinopteri; Salmoniformes; Salmonidae. The record is from RNAcentral.
CACUACCUUUGUCAACUUUCUCCUGACAUGAACUGAAGCUACGUCUCAUGUGCCCACUCAUUCACUGGCACAUUGAAUGUUUCCCCUCCAAGCACUUCAAAUCCUGUCCUGCACUGGUCAAGCCUCUGAACACCUCAACUCAUUCCUCAUACUCUCAUUCAAUCACUGCUGUGAUCCCUUUCCCACACGGUCCGUUACAGAACUACCCACCACAAACGGACCAAGCAGCGGAGGAAGGAGCGACAACAGGUGGACAAUAGGAAGCACCGCGCUCGGGAGGAGAUGGCAUCCUGGUCGCUGGAGGUGUUGGAGUCAAGGAUUGACUGGACAUGGGAACAAUUAUUGGACCACUGUGACAACCUGCCUGGGAGGCAGGUAGAGCACGAGAGGCACCCCCAAUACAUUUUUUUGGGGGGAGCACACGGGUAGUUUGGCUGGGCCAAGGGUGAGCCCUAAGCCAGCUACCCGUGCUUAUAUGGAGGAGUGUAUGGAGUGGAGGGCGCCGAGUUAUG